RNAcentral lists this ribosomal RNA (465 nucleotides) under uncultured bacterium. Its description in RNAcentral is "partial 16S ribosomal RNA". It matches the Rfam family "Bacterial small subunit ribosomal RNA", at positions 338 to 795 of the family's 1533-position model. The record is from RNAcentral.
CCUACGUGAGGCAGCAGUGGGGAAUAUUGCGCAAUGGGCGAAAGCCUGACGCAGCGACGCCGCGUGAGGGCUGAAGGUCUUCGGAUCGUAAACCUCUGUCAGCAGGGAAGAACAGUCACUGUGCUAAUCAGCAGUGAAUUGACGGUACCUGCAAAGGAAGCACCGGCUCACUCCGUGCCAGCAGCCGCGGUAAUACGGAGGGUGCGAACGUUAAUCGGAAUUACUGGGCGUAAAGCGCUCGUAGGCGGUAUGUCAAGUCAAGGGUGAAAUCCCCGCGCUCAACGUGGGAACUGCCUUUGAAACUGGCAAACUGGAGUGUGUGAGAGGAUAGUGGAAGUCCAGGUGUAGGAGUGAAAUCCGUAGAUAUCUGGAGGAACAUCAGUGGCGAAGGCGACUAUCUGGCACAUAACUGACGCUGAGGAGCGAAAGCGUGGGUAGCAAACAGGAUUAGAUACCCCAGUAGUC